This 497-nucleotide ribosomal RNA is filed under the name uncultured bacterium. RNAcentral's name for it is "partial 16S ribosomal RNA". It matches the Rfam family "Bacterial small subunit ribosomal RNA", at positions 28 to 507 of the family's 1533-position model. The record is from RNAcentral.
GAUGAACGCUGACGGCGUGCCUAAUACAUGCAAGUCGAGCGAACGGACGAGAAGCUUGCUUCUCUGAUGUUAGCGGCGGACGGGUGAGUAACACGUGGAUAACCUACCUAUAAGACUGGGAUAACUUCGGGAAACCGGAGCUAAUACCGGAUAAUAUUUUGAACCGCAUGGUUCAAAAGUGAAAGACGGUCUUGCUGUCACUUAUAGAUGGAUCCGCGCUGCAUUAGCUAGUUGGUAAGGUAACGGCUUACCAAGGCAACGAUGCAUAGCCGACCUGAGAGGGUGAUCGGCCACACUGGAACUGAGACACGGUCCAGACUCCUACGGGAGGCAGCAGUAGGGAAUCUUCCGCAAUGGGCGAAAGCCUGACGGAGCAACGCCGCGUGAGUGAUGAAGGUCUUCGGAUCGUAAAACUCUGUUAUUAGGGAAGAACAGAUGUGUAAGUAACUGUGCACAUCUUGACGGUACCUAAUCAGAAAGCCACGGCUAACUACGUG